RNAcentral lists this ribosomal RNA (802 nucleotides) under uncultured bacterium. Its description in RNAcentral is "bacterial SSU rRNA". It matches the Rfam family "Bacterial small subunit ribosomal RNA", at positions 8 to 796 of the family's 1533-position model. The record is from RNAcentral.
AGAGUUUGAUCCUGGCUCAGGACGAACGCUGGCGGCGCGCUUAACACAUGCAAGUCGAGCGAGAAAGUCUCUUCGGAGAUGAGUACAGCGGCGAACGGGUGAGUAACACGUGGGUAACCUGCCCUGAGGAGCGGGACAACCCGGGGAAACUCGGGCUAAUACCGCAUGAUUCGUAUGAUCUUAAGGUCGUACGGCAAAAGGUAGCUUCGGCUUCCGCCUUUGGAUGGGCCCGCGGCGCAUUAGCUUGUUGGUGGGGUAACGGCCUACCAAGGCGACGAUGCGUAGCUGGUCUGAGAGGACGAUCAGCCACACUGGGACUGAGACACGGCCCAGACUCCUACGGGAGGCAGCAGUGGGGAAUCUUGCGCAAUGGGCGAAAGCCUGACGCAGCGACGCCGCGUGAGGGAAGAAGGCUUUAGGGUUGUAAACCUCUUUCAGCGGGGACGAGGCCGACACGGUUAAUAGCCGUGAGCGGUGACGGUACUCGCAGAAGAAGCCCCGGCUAACUACGUGCCAGCAGUCGCGGUAAUACGUAGGGGGCAAGCGUUGUCCGGAAUCAUUGGGCGUAAAGCGCGUGUAGGCGGCACGGUCAGUCUGGUGUGAAACCUUGGGGCUCAACCCCAAGCCUGCACUGGAUACUGCCGCGCUCGAGUCCGGGAGAGGGAAGCGGAAUUCCUAGUGUAGCGGUGAAAUGCGCAGAUAUUAGGAAGAACACCGAUGGCGAAGGCAGCUUCCUGGAACGGUACUGACGCUGAGACGCGAAAGCGUGGGGAGCGAACAGGAUUAGAUACCCUGGUAGUCC